GUUGUGGCUCAGUGGUAGAACUCUUGCCUAGCAUGUGUGAGGUAUUGGGUUCGAUUUUCAGCACCACA
RNAcentral lists this transfer RNA (68 nucleotides) under Marmota monax (woodchuck). RNAcentral's name for it is "tRNA.Ala". The record is from RNAcentral. Lineage: Eukaryota; Metazoa; Chordata; Mammalia; Rodentia; Sciuridae.